Pongo pygmaeus (Bornean orangutan) is the source of this 1736-nucleotide long non-coding RNA. RefSeq lists it as uncharacterized. NCBI's taxonomy places the organism in Eukaryota, Metazoa, Chordata, Mammalia, Primates, Hominidae. The transcript has 3 exons. The record is from RefSeq and is a predicted model, not a curated record.
AAGGAGAGGAAGGGGCGGUUAGUGGCCCACGCUCUCUCGCCGCUUCUGAGCUUUUCCCGCUCAAAGUAAAUGUGUUCGGGAUUGGCCCGGACUGGCAGGCACCGGCCCGAUGAUUUGCUGAUAGGACAGCGGAGAGGCAGAUCGUGGAUGGUUGAAAGAGCGAAAGAGCGCAGCCCUACCGGGUGGGAGAGGUGUUGGAGGCACUUGGAAGAUUUGAGAAGUCGCUCAGCAACUGGCUUAUCAUCCAAAACCUAGCCGUUGCACACAUUUCAUUUGUCCGACAUUUCAUAUUUGUCCCUUAGUCCCUCCCGUAUCUCUCAGAAUCCGUUGGAGCUGCCCAGAGACUAAUAUCUUGUGCCGGUUUGGGGAGGGCGAGGAGCAACUUGUGGAUUGGGUGUUGCUGGGAGACCCCUUUUUGAGGGAGAGCUGCCCUGUGUCCUAAGCCCGGGCUUUCAGUCGGGGUUAAGGCAUUUGAGUGUUAAUGUGACUUUUGAACAAAGUUCGCUGUGACCUUUUUGUUCGUUUUUGUUUGUCUGUGUAAAACAGGGUCUUGCUCUGUCGCCCAGGCUGGAGUGCAGUGGCGCUAUCAUAGCUCAUUGCAGCCUUGAACACCCGGGUUCAAGCGACCCUCCCGCCUCAGCCUCCCGAGUAGCUGGGGCUGCAGGCACGCGGAGCCACCACUCCUGGCUAAUUUUUAAAAUUUUUUGUAAAGCUGAAGGGCGGGGGGGUUGGGUCUCCUUAUGUUGCCCAGGCUGGUCUGAAACUCCUGGUCUCGAGUGAUCCUCCCGCCUCAGUCUCCCGAGUAGUUGGGGCUACAGGCGUGUGCCACCACUCCUAGCUAAUUUUUUUUUUUUUUUUGGUGAGACGGAGUCUCUCUGUCGCCAGGCUAGAGUGCAGUGGCGCAAAGGCUCACUGCAACCUCCACCUCCCGGGUUCAAGCGAUUCUCCCGCCUCAGCCUCCCGAGUAGCUAGGACUACAGGCCCACGCCACCACGCCCUGCUAAUUUUUGUAUUUUUAGUAGAGACGGGAAUUUCACCAUGUUGUCCAGGAUGGUCUCGAUCUCUUGACCUCGUGAUCCGCCCGCCUCGGCCUCCCAAAAUUCUGGGAUUACAGGCGUGAGCCACUACGCCUGGCUCCAGCUAAUUUUUAAAUUUUUUUGUAGAGCUGGGGUUGGAGGUGGGGAUGGGGGUGGGGGGUUGGAUCUCCUUAUGUUGCUCAGGCUGGUCUUGAACUGAACUCUUGGCCUGAAGUGAUCCUCCGCCUCGGCCUCCCAAAGUGUGGGAUUACAGGGUCUUGCUCUGUCACCUAGGCUGGCAUGCAGUGGUGUGAUCACAGCUCACUGGAGCCUCGACCUCCUGGGAUCAAGCGAUUCUCCCACCUCAACCUUUGAACUUCUAGAUAAGUGGUUCUCAAAGUGUGGUCCUUCAACCAACAGCAUCAUCACCACCCAGGAACUUAUUAGAAAUGGAAGUUCUUGCACCCUGCCAAAACCAGAAACUCUGCUGAUGGGUCCCAGCAAUCUUUAUUUUAACGACUGUUAAAAUCAGAAUCAAGUGAUUCUGAUGCAAACUUAAGUUUGAAAACAUUGUUCUAUUAAAAGUAAUGGCAAAAACCACAAUUACUUUUGCACCAACCUAAGAGCUCUGCACUGUUCAAUAUGGUAGCCUCUAACUAUUGAACUUUUUUAAUGCUAUUAUCUCCUUUAUUCAAAAAUAAAUAUUUCACUUUGAUUCAA